GCGCAGGGUCCUAGCGCCGCCACCGCCAUCUUGUGACGGGCUCUGCGCGGAGUUCCCGCCCCGCGUGCCGGCCGGGAUGUUCGGGAGCCCGGGGCGCUUGUGGUCCAGGGAUGUGUCCUCGUUCCGAUCUGCGGGUGUGCAGGGAAUAAGGGAAAUGCCAUGAAGUAUGUGGGCCAAAUGAAAGAGAGUACUAAAGGAUUCUGGUAAGGCAAUCUAAAUGAGUAGCCUGAAACCUGGCUUCCAGGAGAUUCUCUGCCUGGGUUCUUCAGUCUACAGUCUGAAAUGAAUGCAUGGCACAGCCUCUGUUUCACUGGAAGCUUUAAUAAAUUCUCCAUCUAGCAACAUCUGUUUAUGAAACGUAAGACUGUCAGGUCAUUAAGGCAAGUUCCUUGCUCAGCUUGGCUAAAACUGGCCAGAGAUUCACGGAUUGUGACAGGAAGCCCUGGCUUGCAUGACAUGUGUAACAUGUCAGUAUCCAGACCUGGACACUCUCUACAUAGUGUGUGUAUCCAUUCAUACAAAUAUACAGAGCAUGCUUUCUCCUUUAGGGAAGGAGGAAAAUUUUCAGCUCACUGCUUACUACAAAACUUGUGGAGGACUACAGUACAGGCAGAGCCCUCAAAUCUCAGGAAGAGAGCAGAACAUAAAGCAGGUGUGUUACAUUAUUUUAAUCCUAUCAACACCAGCUGAAUGAAUUUGUUGAUCCAUGAUAGCAAAGUAACUAUAAGCUACUGUUAGCAGUUGACAUAAGAAAUACAGUUGGCUGCACAGUGAUAAACUUGUCACCAGACAGUUUUUCCACUGCAGAGCAAAAACUCAUACUUGUCACCAAACAGAUAUUAUAGGUUUCUUUUCUAUAGUGGAAGAUCUGGAUGAGCUCACAUGAAUUUCUUGCAAUCUGCAAUUAUGUCUGAUUCUCUAUUUUGAAUAAAAAUUGCCCUUGUGUUUCUGUGUGUAUUUUUGUUAUGGGAGAGUGGAUUUACACACUGAAGUGCUCCCAUGAAAAACUUCUUUGAAACUUCCAGGGAAAAGCUUCAACACAGCAAUGGGUUUUCACAUACAAAUAUUUGUUAAAAAUACUCCAUCCGCCUCUCCUGAGGUGUUUUCCCUUGCAAAAGUUACUUAGGGAAAAUGAAGAAAAUCAUUAAGGAAAAUCACCUCAUCCUGUUGUGUCAUGUGUAAAUUAUGUGCAGCCGUAGCAUUUGCCUUUCUUUGGUCAUGCAUUCUUCCCUCUGUUAUUAGGCAUCCUGGUGCCUGUCUGUUCUGUCUACAGCUGUCAGGAGUCAUCAGGCAAAGUUCAGUUUUGCAUUACUUCCAAAAUCCCAUUAACAUCAGUGGGAGUCUGAGCUCCAACAGUUCACACUUAGGUUUCAGGCUAAUGCCCUGCUGCACACUGAGUGUCUUGGUAUGCAAAGCAUGGCUUUAUUAGCAAGUCAGAUUUUUCCUUU
Molecule: long non-coding RNA, 1448 nt
Organism: Lepidothrix coronata (blue-crowned manakin)
Lineage: Eukaryota; Metazoa; Chordata; Aves; Passeriformes; Pipridae
Exons: 3
Source: RefSeq, a predicted model, not a curated record